Molecule: ribosomal RNA, 495 nt
Filed under: uncultured bacterium
Lineage: Bacteria
Description: partial 16S ribosomal RNA
Rfam family: Bacterial small subunit ribosomal RNA
Source: RNAcentral
GACGAACGCUGGCGGCGUGCCUAAUACAUGCAAGUAGAACGCUGAAGGAGGAGCUUGCUUCUCCGGAUGAGUUGCGAACGGGUGAGUAACGCGUAGGUAACCUGCCUGGUAGCGGGGGAUAACUAUUGGAAACGAUAGCUAAUACCGCAUAAGAGUAGAUGUCGCAUGACAUUUGCUUAAAAGGUGCAACUGCACCACUACCAGAUGGACCUGCGUUGUAUUAGCUAGUUGGUGAGGUAACGGCUCACCAAGGCAACGAUACAUAGCCGACCUGAGAGGGUGAGCGGCCACACUGGGACUGAGACACGGCCCAGACUCCUACGGGAGGCAGCAGUAGGGAAUCUUCGGCAAUAGACGGAAGUCUGACCGAGCAACGCCGCGUGAGUGAAGAAGGUUUUCGGAUCGUAAAGCUCUGUUGUAAGAGAAGAACGAGUGUGAGAGUGGAAAGUUCACACUGUGACGGUAUCUUACCAGAAAGGGACGGCUAACUACGUG